CAAAAAUCCUAGUCACCARAAUCCUCCGAAUAAUCACUUUUCAAAGAUUCUCAGACCUCGUGGCAGGUGGUGUCAAGGUCUGCGAUUCCAGGUUGGACCCAGCUGACGUCUGCAGAAACAGUGCCUGCUCUCAAACCUGCUGCUUCACCUCGCCCCAAGAUCAAGAAGAUCCACUUUCCAGGCUGAAGGCUUCCUGAACGACUUCUCUUGACAGUUCAUCUGGAUACGGAUUUGAGGGACAGAGGAGAGCGUGCCCUGCAGAUCGCUUACAGGAACCAUCAGGUAACAGUUACUGAAACAAAGGCUGAUCAUAACUGUAUGCGGGAGAUUUUUGCAAGCCAUAACCUCUUUUAAUCAUAUUUUGUCUUUUAAAAUCCAAAUGAGAGAACAUGCGCUUACCCCGACUGGAUCUUCCUCUGCAAGUGCUGUGAGAACUGCAGACUCGCAGCUGGAGCAGCGUGUGUUCACCUGCAGCCCCAUCUGCUGUAGAGGGGUAAGGCGAGUGCCCGUUCAGCGCCGCGCUCCUGCCUGA
RNAcentral lists this long non-coding RNA (532 nucleotides) under Dromaius novaehollandiae (emu). RNAcentral describes it as "lncRNA (ENSDNVG00000013908.1)". The record is from RNAcentral. Lineage: Eukaryota; Metazoa; Chordata; Aves; Casuariiformes; Dromaiidae.